GAUGAACGCUGGCGGCGUGCUUAACACAUGCAAGUCGAACGGAAAGGCCCAAGCUUGCUUGGGUACUCGAGUGGCGAACGGGUGAGUAACACGUGGGUGAUCUGCCCUGCACUUCGGGAUAAGCCUGGGAAACUGGGUCUAAUACCGGAUAGGACCACAUUUUGGAUGGUGUGGUGGAGAGUUUUUCGGUGUGGGAUGAGCUCGCGGCCUAUCAGCUUGUUGGUGGGGUAAUGGCCUACCAAGGCGUCGACGGGUAGCCGGCCUGAGAGGGUGUACGGCCACAUUGGGACUGGGAUACGGCCCAGACUCCUACGGGAGGCAGCAGUGGGGAAUAUUGCACAAUGGGCGCAAGCCUGAUGCAGCGACGCCGCGUGGGGGAUGACGGCCUUCGGGUUGUAAACUCCUUUCGCUAGGGACGAAGCGUUAUGUGACGGUACCUGGAGAAGAAGCACCGGCUAACUACGUG
RNAcentral lists this ribosomal RNA (466 nucleotides) under uncultured bacterium. RNAcentral's name for it is "partial 16S ribosomal RNA". It matches the Rfam family "Bacterial small subunit ribosomal RNA", at positions 28 to 507 of the family's 1533-position model. The record is from RNAcentral.